GUUUGGCGGCUGUGUGGUCGUGGCUUGAUUUGUUUAAAGGUUUCUGGUUCUGGGCAUCGCUCGGCUCAAUCGGCUCGGUGGUCAUGGGAACGGGGAGUUUGCCAAUGUUUCGAUGUGUUUUCCGGAUAAGGUUGGCUAGAAUCACAAUAGCAGUUGCGCAUUAUAUUUAUAUAAGACGAGAACUUAUCAGGGUAUCUCAAUUGGAACUCCAGGCACUGCCAAUUAACUCCGGCUGCCAUUUCGUUGGCUAUUUUUUCCAAUCUCCCAAUCAAAAGCCCGCAUGUUCUGGCCGUAAUCCAGCCGAAAUCAAAGCAAGCCAAACUCGUUUAUGGCCAACUUUGGACGGCGGAAUCCAGGUCUCACAAAGCCUCAGCGGCUUUUGCUGACAGGAGGAGAGGUUGGCAGAGGCGGUAGAGGCGGCAGAGGCCGUAGAAAGCCGCAACAGGCAGAGCAAAUUUCGCCGACAGCCGGCCGCUGCAAUAUAAUUUCUUUCGAUUAAUCCAAUCGAUUUCUAUUCAAUAAAUCAAAAUAUGAAUUCGU
Long non-coding RNA from Drosophila sechellia, 540 nucleotides. RefSeq lists it as uncharacterized. The transcript is spliced from 3 exons. The record is from RefSeq and is a predicted model, not a curated record. Lineage: Eukaryota; Metazoa; Arthropoda; Insecta; Diptera; Drosophilidae.